UCAAGCUAAUAAGAGCGCAAGGGGAAUGCCUUGGCAUCAGGAGCCGAAGAAGGACGCGACAAGCUGCGAAAAGCCACGGGGAGGAGCAAAUAUCCUUUGAUCCGUGGAUAUCCGAAUGGGGAAACCCGGCACGGCAAUACCGUGUCAACGUGCUAUGAAUAAAAUAGUAGUACGUGGGGAACCGCCUGAACUGAAACAUCUAAGUAGGGCGAGGAAAAGACAUCAACCGAGAUUCCGCUAGUAGUGGCGAGCGAACGCGGAGGAGGCCAAACCGAGGGUCUUUCGGGAUCUUCGGGGUUCGGACCUGCAUCAUGAUCAGAGGUAUCUAGUUGAACGGCGUGGGAAAGCCGACCACAGAGGGUGAGAGUCCCGUAAACGAAAGAGAAGACUGACAGCGGGUAUCCAGAGUACCGCCGGACACGUGAAACCCGGUGGGAAGACGGGUGGACCACCAUCCAAGCCUAAAUACUACCUGAUGACCGAUAGAGGAGCAGUACCGUGAGGGAAAGGUGAAAAGAACCCCGGGAGGGGAGUGAAAGAGCACCUGAAACCUUGUGCUUACAAGCAGUCAGAGCACGUUAAAGUGUGAUGGCGUACCUUUUGUAGAAUGGUCCGGCGAGUUAUAGUAACUGGCGAGCUUAAGCGAUUCAGUCGUGGAGGCGAAGGGAAACCGAGUGUUAAUAGCGCGUAUGAAGUCAGUUGCCAUAGACCUGAAACCGGGUGACCUAUCCAUGGGCAGGCUGAAGGUGAGGUAAAACUCACUGGAGGGCCGAACCGACGUCUGUUGCAAUAGCCGCGGAUGACCUGUGGAUAGCGGAGAAAUUCCAAUCGAACUCGGAGAUAGCUGGUUCUCCCCGAAAUAGCUUUAGGGCUAGCGUUGCAUUAGAUUACCGGAGGUAGAGCACUGAAUAGGCUAGGGGGCGAUGAGCUUACUGAACCUUAUCAAACUUCAAAUGCCGGCUAAUUGAUGUGCAGCAGUCAGACAGUGUGAGAUAAGUUUCAUUGUCGAGAGGGAAACAGCCCAGACCCACAGCUAAGGUCCCAAAUAUAUGCUAAGUGGAAAACGAUGUGGGGUUGCGAAAACAACCAGGACGUUGGCUUAGAGGCAGCCACUCAUUGAAAGAGUGCGUAAUAGCUCACUGGUCGAGUGACCCUGCGCGGAAGAUAUAACGGGGCUAAGCAUAUAACCGAAGCUUGGGAUGUCUUAGGACAUGGUAGGGGAGCGUCGUAUACGGGGUGAAGUACGAGCGAGAGCACGUGUGGACUGUAUACGAGUGAGAAUGCCGGAAUGAGUAGCGAGAAUUAUGUGGGAAUCAUAAUGGCCGAAAAUCUAAGGUUUCUUGGGGAAGGUUCGUCCGCCCAAGGUAAGUCGGGAGCUAAGGCGAGGCCUGACGGCGUAGUCGAUGCACACACGGUUGAAAUUCCGUGACCACCGAAAGAUUUAAGCGAGCUGACACAUAGAGAUAGCCGGACCCCGGCGUUGGUCGACCGGGGCGAAAGGGACCGAACAUCAGUAGGGAAGCCGGCGAUGCUCUGUGGCGAGAAAAGGCUCGAGGUACAUCUGAGGUGCCCGUACCGCAAACCGACACAGGUAGAUGAGGAGAGAAUCCUAAGGCCAGCGGGAGAAGGGUUGUUAAGGAACUCGGCAAAUUGACCCCGUAACUUCGGGAAAAGGGGAGCCUGCUACGGCAGGCCGCAGAGAAUAGGCCCAAGCGACUGUUUACCAAAAACACAGGUCUCUGCUAAAUCGAAAGAUGACGUAUAGGGGCUGACGCCUGCCCGGUGCCGGAAGGUUAAGAGGAGGGCUUAGCGCAAGCGAAGGUCUGAAUUGAAGCCCCGGUAAACGGCGGCCGUAACUAUAACGGUCCUAAGGUAGCGAAAUUCCUUGUCAGGUAAGUUCUGACCCGCACGAAUGGCGUAACGAUUUGGGCACUGUCUCAACAGCCCGCCCGGCGAAAUUGUUGUACUGGUGAAGAAGCCAGUUACCCGCAACUAGACGGAAAGACCCCAUGGAGCUUUACUGCAGCUUAAUACUGAAGAUUGGUAAUGCAUGUACAGGAUAGGUGGGAGCCUGAGAAGCAGGGGCGUCAGCUUCUGUGGAGGCAACCUUGGAAUACCACCCUUGUAUUGCUGGUUUUCUAACCUGCGGCCGUGAAUCCGGUCGGGGGACACUGUUAGGCGGGCAGUUUGACUGGGGCGGUCGCCUCCAAAAGAGUAACGGAGGCGCUCAAAGGUUGGCUCAGCACGGACGGAAAUCGUGCAUAGAGUGCAAACGCAGAAGCCAACUUGACUGCGAGACCGACGGGUCGAGCAGGUACGAAAGUAGGAGUUAGUGAUCCGGUGGUAUGUGAGUGGAAAUGCCAUCGCUCAACGGAUAAAAGCUACCCUGGGGAUAACAGGCUGAUCUCCCCCAAGCGUCCACAGCGACGGGGAGGUUUGGCACCUCGAUGUCGGCUCGUCACAUCCUGGGGCUGAAUUAGGUCCCAAGGGUUCGGCUGUUCGCCGAUUAAAGUGGCACGCGAGCUGGGUUCAGAACGUCGUGAGACAGUUCGGUCCCUAUCUGUUGCGGGCGCAGGAGAUUUGAAGGGAGCUGUCCCUAGUACGAGAGGACCAGGAUGGACAGACCUCUGGUGCACCAGUUGUCGUGCCAACGGCACAGCUGGGUAGCUACGUCUGGACGAGAUAAACGCUGAAGGCAUCUAAGCGUGAAACUCCCCCUAAGAUAAGAUCUCCCAUCCGAAAGGAGUAAGGGACGACGUGGACUAUGUCGUUGAUAGGCCGGAGGUGUAAGCACGGUAACGUGUUCAGCUGACCGGUACUAAUAACCCGAGGGCUUGACCU
This 2841-nucleotide ribosomal RNA is filed under the name metagenome. RNAcentral describes it as "bacterial LSU rRNA". It matches the Rfam family "Bacterial large subunit ribosomal RNA". The record is from RNAcentral.